RNAcentral lists this unclassified non-coding RNA (353 nucleotides) under air metagenome. Its description in RNAcentral is "partial contains small subunit ribosomal RNA, internal transcribed spacer 1, and 5.8S ribosomal RNA". The stretch from base 1 to 46 matches the Rfam family "Eukaryotic small subunit ribosomal RNA", at positions 1786 to 1831 of the family's 1831-position model. The record is from RNAcentral.
AAGUCGUAACAAGGUCUCCGUUGGUGAACCAGCGGAGGGAUCAUUAGCGAGUUAACUACAAACUCCAAACCCGUGUGAACCUACCUAUCGUUGCCUCGGCAGGCCGCGCUGGCACGGUACGGGAAAGCUACCCUGCAGCUGACCUACCCUGGAGUAGAGCUACCCUGGAGCUGAGAUACGCCCCGGGGAGAGGCUACCCUGGAGUGCGGAAAGCUGUCAACAGACUAGCACCCCUACCCUGCAGCGCGCAACCAGGCCUGCCGGCGGACCCCUAAACUCUGUUUUACAACUGUAUCUCUGAGCAAAACAAACAAAAUAAGUUAAAACUUUCAACAACGGAUCUCUUGGUUCUG